RNAcentral lists this ribosomal RNA (406 nucleotides) under uncultured bacterium. RNAcentral describes it as "partial 16S ribosomal RNA". It matches the Rfam family "Bacterial small subunit ribosomal RNA", at positions 29 to 526 of the family's 1533-position model. The record is from RNAcentral.
AUUGAACGCUGGCGGCAGGCCUAACACAUGCAAGUCGAGCUAGCGGCGGACGGGUGAGUAAUGUCUGGGAAACUGCUGGAUGGAGGGGGAGAACUACUGGAACCGGUAGCUAAUAACGCAGACCAUCGGAUGUGCCCAGAUGGGUGUAGCUGGUAGGUGGGGUAACGUCUCACCUAGGCGACGAUCCCUAGCUGGUCUGAGCGGAUGACCAGCCAGUCUGGAACGGAGACACGGUCCAGACCCCUACGGGAGGCAGUAGUGGGGAAUAUUGCACAAUGGGCGCAAGCCUGAGGCAGCAAUGCCGCGUGUAUGAAGAAGGCCUUCGGGUUGUAAAGUACUUUCAGCGGGGAGGCGUUACCCGCAGAAGAAGCACCGGCUAACUCCGUGCCAGCAGCCGCGGUAAUUC